Molecule: non-coding RNA, 93 nt
Organism: Microthyrium microscopicum
Lineage: Eukaryota; Fungi; Ascomycota; Dothideomycetes; Microthyriales; Microthyriaceae
Source: the annotation of a GenBank genome assembly
GGAGGAGUAGUAUAGUGGUAGUACUUACGAUCUCGUGGCAGGCCCUACCUGCUUAAAAUUCGUAGGGCAUAGGUUUAAUUCUUGUCUCCCCCA